Molecule: unclassified non-coding RNA, 449 nt
Filed under: Hevea brasiliensis (rubber tree)
Lineage: Eukaryota; Viridiplantae; Streptophyta; Magnoliopsida; Malpighiales; Euphorbiaceae
Source: RNAcentral
UUAUACAAAUCUAUCUUCUUUGUCCCCUUUUUCUAAUCAUUAAUCUUUCUUUAUUUAAUUAGGGGACAAAGAAGAUAGAUUUGUAUAAUUGUUACCAGAUCUCAUUUUAAAAAAUCUACUUGAAUAUUAAACAUUUUAUUUUAUUAAACUAAAUAAGUGUAGAACAAAAGACAAAAGGGAAGUUCAUAAAACGCCCUCUGUUGUGCACAUGUUCCAACACGAUUGUUCAAGUUGCUUCCAGUUGAUGGUUCUGAAAGAAUCUUCUUCAUUCAAGUUUCCUUCUGACCAGUCCUUUGAAGAAGUCAAAACUAUUGCCAUCAGGAUGAAGCUCGCAAAUUUGAUUGUCGUCGCCAAUAGCGAAUAAAUACCCUGAGGAUGUCAAGCCCUGGAUAGUGACCACAUUCUCCACUACUUGAUCCCCAUUAUUUUCUUGUAUGAUGACUCUCUGC